This 330-nucleotide ribosomal RNA is filed under the name uncultured bacterium. RNAcentral's name for it is "bacterial SSU rRNA". It matches the Rfam family "Bacterial small subunit ribosomal RNA", at positions 29 to 355 of the family's 1533-position model. The record is from RNAcentral.
AUUGAACGCUGGCGGCAUGCCUUACACAUGCAAGUCGAACGGCAGCACGGGGGCGAACCCUCGGUGGCGAGUGGCGAACGGGUAGAGUAAUGCAUCGGAACGUGCCCCGUACGCGGGGGAGUAACCAGUCGAAAGACUGGCUAAUACCGCAUACGCUCCACGGAGGAAAGACAGGGGAUCGCAAGACCUUGCACUAUGGGAGCGGCCGAUGCCCGAUUAGCUAGUUGGGAGGUAAAGGCUCACCAAGGCGACGAUCGGUAGCUGGUUUGAGGGAACGACCAGCCACACUGGGACUGAGACACGGCCCAGACUCCUACGGGAGGCAGCAGU